GCACAGCAGGGGAGCUGGACUUGGGGACGUGGACAGAGGCCCAGCUGGGCCAUGCCUGAUUUCCCUUUGUGAAAGAAUUGGGAGAAGCUGGGAAGUCUCAAGGUGGUCUCCAAAGCUAACAGUUCACUGGGUCUGACUCCCAUCUUCCCAUCCUAAAACUCAAAGUCUUCAGGGAGACAGAAAAAAGAACAGAGAAUGAGAGAGGGAGCAAACAAGAAGCUCUUGUCUUUCUCAACAUGGGCUGCAGACCACCUUCCUUCAUGGGGAUCAUCUGAAGGGUACUGGGGCCCACCCUGUACCCCCUGAAAUGACCUGCAAGCCUUUCUGCAUCAUUCUGCCACAUGCUAAAUCUGAGAACUACAGCACCAGAAUACCUCUACCUACUAGGCUCUUUGGAUCUGUCAUAAAGAAACAAGAAUGCCUGAAAUGCCUUCCCUCCCAAGUGCUGGUUGAUACCUGAGCUUGAGAACAGUCUCCAAGACCAGGAGGCAACAACCCAAAGCAAAGGAGCUGGAAAACCACGGCGGCGAGAAGGCCCUGCACACAGCUGCCGUCACUCAUCUCUCUCCAGUGCAGUGAUGAACAUCUCCCUUCACUGGGAUCAUCUGGAGGAGACUGGGGUCCACACAGCAAUGUGGCCAUGCAGCAAAGAGUCCCACCUGUGAGACUCAGCCUUGAAGGAUGAGUGAAAUUUGACAGUAGAGAAAGGAAA
Long non-coding RNA from Talpa occidentalis (Iberian mole), 712 nucleotides. RefSeq lists it as uncharacterized. The record is from RefSeq and is a predicted model, not a curated record. The transcript is spliced from 5 exons. Lineage: Eukaryota; Metazoa; Chordata; Mammalia; Eulipotyphla; Talpidae.